RNAcentral lists this long non-coding RNA (809 nucleotides) under Ananas comosus (pineapple). RNAcentral's name for it is "long non-coding RNA (ACOM_LNC011890)". The record is from RNAcentral. Lineage: Eukaryota; Viridiplantae; Streptophyta; Magnoliopsida; Poales; Bromeliaceae.
GCCGAAAGGAGCUCCCAGACUGAGCCUAGUUUUGGUCGGGUCGAGCUCCUACCAGCGUCGCUGUCGCCACUACUCACCGUCGUCGGCCAAGGUGAGCACAGUACUUCCCUUCCCCUUCGCACUGACCUUUGGGGCGCUGUAGCACACUGGACCUUUGGAAAUUGCGAGGUUCGAGUAUUUGAUUUGUCUUCCGAACUUUUCCAUACUUGGUGGAGGGCCGUCGAUGGUAUACCGGCCUAAAAGUUCGAUCUCGAGAGUUUUGGCUGAGUCCUGAGAGUUUUUACUCUCGGGGACCGGUCCCUGAUAGGAGAGACCGGUCCCCCAGUGAACAGUGCUGCGUAGCCGGCGAGGCAACCGGUCCCUGGCAGUCGAGACCGGUCCCCGAGCGCGUCUGCGCGGGGAGAGACCGGUCCCGCGCAGGGAGAGACCGGUUCCCGAACGUUGGAUUUUCGGGGGCAGGCUGAGAGACCGGUCCCAGGUCGGGGAGACCGGUCCCUCUGGGCGAAAACUGCCCAGACCGGGCUGAUGUGAUUUUGGAUUUUUGAGGGGCUUAUCAGGAUUUUGUUACUUUAGAGCCUAUAGAGAGCCUUUCUUCUCUCUCUUUCCCUCAUUUCUCUCAACCCUUUGCAUUCUAGAGAGAGAAGAAGAGAGGGAGAAGGAGAAGAAGGAGAAGAAGAGGAGAAGGAGCUUGCUUGGAGGCCUUGGAGCACCAUCUUCUUCCUCAUUUCUCACCUUUGGAGACUUGGAGCUUGCUUUUGGAGCUUUGUGGUGGAUCAAACUUCAACCCUAAUUGGUUUUGAGCUUGGAUU